AUGUAUCCACUGGCAUGGGCUGUUGUUGAGAAGGAAACAAAUGAAAGCAGGAAGUGGUUUAUUGGCUUGCUUAUUAAAGAUCUUGACAUUAAUAACAAUGGAGCUGGAUGGGUGUUCAUUUCAGAUCAGCGGAAGGGACUGAUUAAUGCUAUGCAGGACUAUCUGCCAAAUGCAGAGCACAUAAUUUGUGCUAGGCAUAUCUAUGCCAACUGGAGAAAGAAGCAUAGGGCACAUGAGUGGAAGAAGAAGUUCUGGGCAGUUGCCAAAGCAGCAAACAAGCAAGACUUCAACUACUACAAAGCAAAGCUAGCCCAAGAAACACCAGAUGGUGCAAAAGAUAUGAUGAGAACAAAGCCAGUACAUUGGGCAAGGGCAUUUUUUCUAGUGGGUUCCAACUGUGAAUCAGUUGACAAUAAUCUUUGUGAAUCUUUUAAUCAUGCAAUUGUUGAAGCAAGGUUUUAUCCAAUAAUUUCAAUGCAAGAAAAAAAUUAG
RNAcentral lists this ribosomal RNA (492 nucleotides) under Triticum aestivum (bread wheat). RNAcentral's name for it is "partial small subunit ribosomal RNA". Lineage: Eukaryota; Viridiplantae; Streptophyta; Magnoliopsida; Poales; Poaceae. The record is from RNAcentral.